CAGGAACUUAAAAGUCUUUCACUGAAACUGCAAUCCCUGUAGUGUUCUGUGUAUGUGUCUUCUCAGUACAGGUGACAAUAUUCUUCAAUCAAGCUCAUCAAUGACUCCGCCUACCCCGUUACCCGGUUCAGCUGUUUCCACUCACCAUCUGUCCCAUCAUGCAUUUCUGAGCAGUAUAUGUACUUCUGGUUUUUGGUCAUUCUCUCUCUCACUCUCCAUGCGUAAGGUUGUGUAUGUGGUUUCUGGUUAGUUGUGAAGUGGUUUUGCGUGGUUUGGAGUGAGAGCUGUGUGUUGUGUAUGUGGUUUCUGGUUAGUUGUGAAGUGUUUUGUGGUUUUGCGUGGUUUGGAGUGAGAGCUGUGUGUGUGUGGUUGAACUUUGAUUGUACAACUGGUACAUUGUCUAACACUGUUAUUUCCUCUUGUUUCUACAGGGAGUGAGGAGUAGUUUAGCCCUGCUCCGGAGUCUACAUCCCUGCACGUAGGAAGAGGAGUACAUCCCUAACAGAUGCCAGCCAGGACAUUAGACUGACAAUGGAGGUUUUGGAUGCAAUGAAGACACAAGGAGGAAUGUCAAUGAGAGAAGCAAAAUAAUCUUUGAUGGAGGGAACCUUUAAGGGAGUAGCCCUGAAGGAAAGCACAGAGAAGGUUAAUCAGCUUCAGUUCUUUCAGGCAGUGAUCGACAUCCUGUCAAGUCGUCUUCCAGAUUCUGAACUCACAAAGUUAUUGAAACCAUUAGACCCUCACAUCUGGCCCAAAACAAGAGAUGAACUGAUCUUGUAUGGGGAGGACGAGAUAUAUGAACUUGCAAAGGAUCUGGGUGAAUCCGCCAGAGAGGCUGUUGAAGAUUUCCGUUCCUGGAAACUGCAAAAGGAUCAAAGUGGGAAGACCUUAAGAAGAUUGAUAGUUGCAAGCCAAACAUAUCUAGCAACUUCAGCAGAGUGUGAACGAGGGUUUUCUGCCAUGAAUGAUACAGCCAGUAAGACAAGAAAUCGCCUGAGGGUCAGAAGUCUCUCAGCUGUCUUGUUCGUCGACAUUAAUGCACCCCCAUUGGAGAUGUUCGACCCUAAGCCUUUUGUGAUGUCCUGGCUUAAAGAAGGGCACUGCCCAUCUACUGCAAAGAAGGCAGCAAAGAAUAAGAGAGAAGACAGACCACUGUGGUCCAUUAUGUGUUGAUGUUGGACCUCCUUUAAAGGUCUAGAGCAGGGGUGCCUGCCCAGUCCUGCUCCUGGAGAGCUACUGUUCUGUAGGUGUUCUCUCCAACCCCAGUUAACCCCUAACCUGAUGAAGUUGUUAACAAAUGAAUAAAAUAUGUGCCUAGUCACUUAACAUGUUGAUUUUGAAUAAUGUGGUUACUAUUGGAUUAUUGUCAUUUUAAUGUCAUGUUAGAAUAUCAAACUUUUUUUUUUUUUCGUGUCCCUUAAGAUUUUACUUCAGG
This is a long non-coding RNA of Esox lucius (northern pike), 1435 nucleotides long. NCBI's taxonomy places the organism in Eukaryota, Metazoa, Chordata, Actinopteri, Esociformes, Esocidae. The record is from Ensembl.